UGCGUAGGCGGCGUCGUUAGUCAGAAGUGAAAGCUUACAGCUUAACUGUGAAAUUGCUUUUGAUACUGCGGUGCUUGAAUUAGGUUGAGGUUAGCGGAACGUGACAUGUAGCGGUGAAAUGCAUAGAUAUGUCAUAGAACACCAAUUGCGAAGGCAGCUGGCUAGGCCUAUAUUGACGCUAAGGCACGAAAGCGUGGGGAGCAAACAGGAUUAGAUACCCUGGUAGUCC
RNAcentral lists this ribosomal RNA (229 nucleotides) under uncultured bacterium. RNAcentral describes it as "partial 16S ribosomal RNA". It matches the Rfam family "Bacterial small subunit ribosomal RNA", at positions 568 to 796 of the family's 1533-position model. The record is from RNAcentral.